Molecule: ribosomal RNA, 465 nt
Filed under: uncultured bacterium
Lineage: Bacteria
Description: bacterial SSU rRNA
Rfam family: Bacterial small subunit ribosomal RNA
Source: RNAcentral
UCAGAAUCAACGCUGGCGGCGUGCCUAACACAUGCAAGUCGAACGAGAAAGUGGUAGCAAUACCAUGAGUAAAGUGGCGCACGGGUGAGUAACACGUGACUAACCUACCCUGGAGUGGGGGAUAACUGAGGGAAACCUUAGCUAACACCGCAUAAUACCUACGGGUCAAAGGAGUAAUUCGCUUUGGGAGGGGGUCGCGGCCGAUUAGUUUGUUGGCGGGGUAAUGGCCCACCAAGACUAUGAUCGGUAUCCGGCCUGAGAGGGCGCACGGACACACUGGAACUGAAACACGGUCCAGACUCCUACGGGAGGCAGCAGUGGGGAAUUUUGCGCAAAUGGGGGAAACCCUGACGCAGCAACGCCGCGUGGAGGAUGAAGUACUUCGGUACGUAAACUCCUUUCGACCGGGACGAUAAUGACGGUACCGGGAGAAGAAGCCCCGGCUAACUUCGUGCCAGCCGCAGC